CCAAUAGCGUAUAUUAAAGUUGUUGCAGUUAAAAAGCUCGUAGUUGAACUUCAGGCCUGUCCAGAUGGUCCGCCUUAAUUGGUGUGUACUGUCCUUGGGUGGGUCCUACCUUCUGGCGAAGCGGCAUGGCCUUAAUUGGUUGUGUUGGGGAACCAGGACUUUUACUGUGAAAAAAUUAGAGUGUUCAAAGCAGGCAAAUAUGCUCGAAUACAUUAGCAUGGAAUAAUGGAAUAGGACGAUGGUUCUAUUUUGUUGGUUCUAGGACCGUUGUAAUGAUUAAUAGGGAUAGUAGGGGGCAUUAGUAUUCAAUUGUCAGAGGUGAAAUUCUUGGAUUUAUUGAAGACUAACUACUGCGAAAGCAUUUGCCAAGGAUGUUUUCAUUAAUCAAGAACGAAAGUUAGGGGAUCGAAGACGAUCAGAUACCGUCGUAGUCUUAACCAUAAACUAUGCCGACUAGGAAUCGGGCGAUGUUGACAAAAUGACUCGCUCGGCACCUCAUG
This 500-nucleotide ribosomal RNA is filed under the name uncultured Glomeromycotina. RNAcentral's name for it is "partial small subunit ribosomal RNA". It matches the Rfam family "Eukaryotic small subunit ribosomal RNA", at positions 591 to 1092 of the family's 1831-position model. The record is from RNAcentral. Lineage: Eukaryota; Fungi; Glomeromycota.